AUUGAACGCUGGCGGCAGGCUUAACACAUGCAAGUCGAGCGGGGAAAGGUAGCUUGCUACCUGACCUAGCGGCGGACGGGUGAGUAAUGCUUAGGAAUCUGCCUAUUAGUGGGGGACAACAUCUCGAAAGGGAUGCUAAUACCGCAUACGUCCUACGGGAGAAAGCAGGGGACCUUCGGGCCUUGCGCUAAUAGAUGAGCCUAAGUCGGAUUAGCUAGUUGGUGGGGUAAAGGCCUACCAAGGCGACGAUCUGUAGCGGGUCUGAGAGGAUGAUCCGCCACACUGGGACUGAGACACGGCCCAGACUCCUACGGGAGGCAGCAGUGGGGAAUAUUGGACAAUGGGGGGAACCCUGAUCCAGCCAUGCCGCGUGUGUGAAGAAGGCCUUUUGGUUGUAAAGCACUUUAAGCGAGGAGGAGGCUACCGAGAUUAAUACUCUUGGAUAGUGGACGUUACUCACAGAAUAAGCACCGGCUAACUCUGUG
This 485-nucleotide ribosomal RNA is filed under the name uncultured bacterium. Its description in RNAcentral is "partial 16S ribosomal RNA". It matches the Rfam family "Bacterial small subunit ribosomal RNA", at positions 30 to 507 of the family's 1533-position model. The record is from RNAcentral.